This 2669-nucleotide long non-coding RNA is filed under the name Homo sapiens (human). RNAcentral's name for it is "HSALNT0136544". Lineage: Eukaryota; Metazoa; Chordata; Mammalia; Primates; Hominidae. The record is from RNAcentral.
CAGAUAUUGGUUUUGUGCCUAGUAUGUUCCCUGAGGUGUACAGGGAACCUCAAGGAGCUCCCAGACUAUGGGAGUGACCCCUGCGGAGCUGACAAGCCAAUGCUGGAGAAGUGCACGGGCAGGCUCAGGCGCAGCCACUCAAUGGGCCUGUCUGUGUCGGGGGCAGGGGCACAGAGAGGGGCAGGUGAGUCGAAGCUGAUUGGGUGAAGAAAAGACAGUGAAAAGACGGUGAGACCAAAGGCACAGAGCGGGUUUCCCGCCCCAGCUACCACGCUGGUCUGCAGAGCGAGCCUUUCGACAUGCUAAAGUGAACUUUGAAACUGCGAGAAGAUGUGGCACACACGGCAGGUGACGGGAGUCUGACCAGAGGAGUCGGGGACCAUCUGAGAAGACGCGUGUUCUCUAAACACGGCUUGGAAAAUAGGUACUGGUUUUCAAAUGCGCUCAGUGAACUCCUUAGACAAGCUUUGAGAAGAGGCAAAGAAGCAGGAUGUCGGCCCGUUUCAAGGACAGUCUUCUCCUGCUCGUUUCUUUCACAUGUCUGGCUCUGCAGUGACUAAGCUUUCCUUUGAAGAAAGGUUUCUUUGACUAUCGCAACCCCCCAAGAAAAGGAUUCUAGAAAUAUUUGUGGAUGCUCAAGACCGAAGCUCAACUGUCAGCUAUUUUCCCCCUGGCCUUGCUACUCCUGAGACUUCAAUAUGGUAUUUUUGGAAUGAAACCACAUAUGAAAUCCAAAAGGCAAAAACCUCUGACUUUUCCCCACAAGUGUGUUAGAACCAGGAGCAAAGGGAAGGGCGCCCUCUUGGUGGGAGGUCACUCAUGAAGCUGGACAGAGGCCAGAGACCCGGCAGUUUGGUGACUUGUGUCUAAGCUCUGAGUGUGGAUCCCUGGCUGGACAUUCCCAGCUGCAGCACCAGGCUGUCCUGGGCAGAGGACUCCAGUCCCUGCAUUCAAGCGUCAGUCACCUCAGCAUUCACAGCGGCAGCCCGCGGGGUAAGGUAGCUGAAGACUAGAGGCCUGCUCCCGUGGGACAGAUUUACACAACAAUUCAUCACCAUCUCCUGGUGAGGGGGAGAUGUUCAAAACUGUGAAAGGUGUAGAUGCAAAAGCACAGGCCCUCAAACACAAUCAAGUGUGAAACCAGAGAAAAAUGAUCCUUGAGAAUCCGGCUGGGAUUUCAUCUUUAUCCUGCAUUAUCCUAAAGUUCCAGGCCCAAGGUAUGCACUGUUAGCAUAUGUAUACAUCAUUUAAAUGUGGUAAAAGGAAAAUCAAUAAAGGCUGAUGGGCAUGCGUCUCUGGGUCCCCUGGCCACACUGGGCCCUUGCAACUGCCCUCCGGUGUGCCCAGGGCCCGCUCCUGUGGAGGCGCAGCUAAGAAAACCCCUGACAGCAUGCCACAAAAUCAGUUUUCUACCUUCUGCUUUUUUCUUUCUUUUUCCAUUUUUAAAAACUUAUAUACUGCCUAACUUGCUUCGGGCAAAAACCUCUCAACAGGCUGUGGGAUACAUUCAAAAUGAGUAGCAGAAGUGACAACUUAUCUUUAUUUCAACAUGGAAAUGUGGUUUCUCCAGAUGUUUCUAAUGUUCCCAAUAGGGAUUUCCAAAGACUGAAUAUUGCAUCAAGGCUGCCAGCCUGAAGGGCCCUACACAAGGAUAGUGCUUCUGUCUGACGUGCACUCUCUCCUCCGCCACAAACAUACACACACACACACACACACACACAUGCCAGAAAUGUAGACUGUGACUUAAAUCUGUGCACAAGUAAAGAUGAUUCAAGCUGAAACACAUUUUCCCUUCUUGACAUAGUGACUGAUGAUAGUUAGACAUAGAUUAUAGGCAACUGCCUUAUUUGCAGAACCAGUAAGGGUAUGAAAGACUCUUAACCAGCCCAGAGCAUCAAGUAGUGGGUGAAUCAUUCUGAAGGCUGCCUUCCAAGACCACAAGAAAUUAGGGGGCAGCCUAUAAGAAACAGCAAUAGCACACCACACCAUAGGAAAAUCCCAUAUGGCUUCAUCCCAAAGUAUUGCAGAGAGAGAGAGAGAGAGAUCUCACAAAGUUGGAGACAAAACUUUUGUUAGACAUUGUUUUCUUGUUAUUUGUUUGUUUGUGUCUUUUCAUCACGCCUUUAACUUUUCUGCGAGAUGUGGCAACAGUAGCCACAGCAUGAUUCGAAAAGCGCAUGAAUGAAGGGGCAGUUUGCUUUCGUGCUGCAUGUUGUAUUGUUAUUCAUAGAUGGACAUCUGUGCUUUGUGUUUUGGUUUUUAGGUGUUUUGUAAUACCUUAAAAUGUUUACAGUCAACCAGAACAUGUCUACUUUAGGACAAAAUAGUCAUUUGUUCAAUAAAAAUUUUCUGUUCAUCUAUUAGGUCCCAGGAAUACGUUGCUGGGCAUUUGGAAAUAAGAAUGUGAUCUCAGUCCCUACCCUUAAGGAAUUCAUCAUCUAGUGAGGAGACAGGCACGUAAAGUAUGCACAAUUGUGCAGUAAGAAUAUAGGCAAAGGACCCUUAGGUAGGCCUGAGAAAAUCAGGGGAGAUUCUUAGAAGAGGCGGCAGUUGAACUGAGAUUCCAAGACUAUGUAGGAAUUAGAUGGAUUAAGAGGACGAUGGGCAUUUGAGGCAGUAGGUACAGCACAUAUAAGAGUUUAGUUUGUUUAGGGAACUAUGAGUUGUUU